UUGAACGCUGGCGGCAUGCUUUACACAUGCAAGUCGGACGGCAGCACAGAGAAGCUUGCUUCUUGGGUGGCGAGUGGCGAACGGGUGAGUAAUAUAUCGGAACGUACCGAGUAAUGGGGGAUAACUAAUCGAAAGAUUAGCUAAUACCGCAUAUUCUCUGAGGAGGCAAGCAGGGGACCUUCGGGCCUUGCGUUAUUCGAGCGGCCGAUAUCUGAUUAGCUAGUUGGUGGGGUAAAGGCCUACCAAGGCGACGAUCAGUAGCGGGUCUGAGAGGAUGAUCCGCCACACUGGGACUGAGACACGGCCCAGACUCCUACGGGAGGCGGCAGUGGGGAAUUUUGGACAAUGGGCGCAAGCCUGAUCCAGCCAUGCCGCGUGUCUGAAGAAGGCCUUCGGGUUGUAAAGGACUUUUGUCAGGGAAGAAAAGGCUGUUGCUAAUAUCAAUAGCUGAUGACGGUACCUGAAGAAUAAGCACCGGCUAACUACGUG
This 489-nucleotide ribosomal RNA is filed under the name uncultured bacterium. RNAcentral describes it as "partial 16S ribosomal RNA". It matches the Rfam family "Bacterial small subunit ribosomal RNA", at positions 30 to 507 of the family's 1533-position model. The record is from RNAcentral.